This 621-nucleotide ribosomal RNA is filed under the name Escherichia coli. RNAcentral describes it as "partial 23S ribosomal RNA". It matches the Rfam family "Bacterial large subunit ribosomal RNA", at positions 2193 to 2813 of the family's 2925-position model. The record is from RNAcentral. Lineage: Bacteria; Pseudomonadati; Pseudomonadota; Gammaproteobacteria; Enterobacterales; Enterobacteriaceae.
UGAAAUACCACCCUUUAAUGUUUGAUGUUCUAACGUUGACCCGUAAUCCGGGUUGCGGACAGUGUCUGGUGGGUAGUUUGACUGGGGCGGUCUCCUCCUAAAGAGUAACGGAGGAGCACGAAGGUUGGCUAAUCCUGGUCGGACAUCAGGAGGUUAGUGCAAUGGCAUAAGCCAGCUUGACUGCGAGCGUGACGGCGCGAGCAGGUGCGAAAGCAGGUCAUAGUGAUCCGGUGGUUCUGAAUGGAAGGGCCAUCGCUCAACGGAUAAAAGGUACUCCGGGGAUAACAGGCUGAUACCGCCCAAGAGUUCAUAUCGACGGCGGUGUUUGGCACCUCGAUGUCGGCUCAUCACAUCCUGGGGCUGAAGUAGGUCCCAAGGGUAUGGCUGUUCGCCAUUUAAAGUGGUACGCGAGCUGGGUUUAGAACGUCGUGAGACAGUUCGGUCCCUAUCUGCCGUGGGCGCUGGAGAACUGAGGGGGGCUGCUCCUAGUACGAGAGGACCGGAGUGGACGCAUCACUGGUGUUCGGGUUGUCAUGCCAAUGGCACUGCCCGGUAGCUAAAUGCGGAAGAGAUAAGUGCUGAAAGCAUCUAAGCACGAAACUUGCCCCGAGAUGAGUUCUC